Salvia miltiorrhiza (redroot sage) is the source of this 1862-nucleotide long non-coding RNA. RefSeq lists it as uncharacterized. The transcript has 6 exons. Lineage: Eukaryota; Viridiplantae; Streptophyta; Magnoliopsida; Lamiales; Lamiaceae. The record is from RefSeq and is a predicted model, not a curated record.
ACCUAUUCGCCGUUCUAUGGUUUGCUGGCGGAUUCUGCAUCGCCGUCUUCCAACUCUUGACACUCUCAUCUGUCAGGGCCUCAUCACGCCUAGUCACUAUCCUUUCUGUUUCAUGGACAGCGAAACGAUAGAGCAUGUUUUCUGUAACUGUAGUAAGGUUCGACCUAUUUGGCUGGAGUUCCUGACUUGGUUUAAGAAGGAGUAUGAUAUCCAUAAUUCCGACAUUUUUUCAAUGUUGGUGGUUGCUUGGGGUUAUAACUUCAGUUCCCAGUUGGAGAGUUAUUGGAAAGCAGGGAUUAUCACUCUUAUUUGGAGCUUAUGGAUGCAGCGAAACCGUUGUAUUUUUUAUAAUGGUAGCUUUGAGGCUAAAGCUGUGAUUCACUCGGUCAAGGUCUUUUUUCGGGAGAUGGAUGAGAAUUUUAAGCUUGGCGCCAUGGCUAUCAAAUUAGAUUUCAUCUAGGGUUUGUCCCUCCUCCCUUCCUUUCCCCUUCCCCUUCCCCUUCGGCCUUCUCCCACCAGUCCACCAUCACCCGCGCCGCCUCUUGCCCCAACCGUGUGCUCCUCAGCCCCCUUGCCUGGCGACCGUGGAGUGGCGGCGAAGAGGAGGCUCAGGUGGCGAUUUUAAGUGUCAGUCGAAUCUCAAUCUCACCGACCUCCCCGCGCCGCCUACCCUGCGCCUUGCCUCUCUCUCCUCCGACCUCCACUGAGGCUCUACCUUGCGUCACCCUGCCAUGUGUCGUCACCCCAAUCUUCAGCGCCCUAGACGACCUCCUGAACCCUAGCUGGUCGUCGCUGCCGCCACCCCAAUUCGGUGCCCAUCUUUAAUCGCGUCUCUUCUGUACAUUAGAGGAUCGAGUUUAUGCUUGAUUCGACUUUACUCAUAUUUUCGCCAAAUUUGAUGUAAACUCUAAACUUGUGGCUGAGCUGGUAACAGUCAAUGGCUUCAAAGCUGCUUAUGCAAUCAAAGAUGGUGUUGAGGGAUUGCGAUGAUGGAAGUGGCCUUUCUUGGAUAGCUCCGAAGAAGGCAGUGGCAUCGACCUCAGUAGUCUCACGGAUUCGUUUGGGGAAACAUCUCAGCUGCCUACUAAUACUUCACUGCUGCAUAUUUGGUGUUCUUGAAUACCUUGUAUAAGAUUCAAAUUCAACCCCUCAAUCUGCGACGCUGGAUUUGCAGGAUGCUUCUGAAGCCGUGUCUCUAGCCCUUGGCGUUGCAGUUGCUGCUGGUCUUGGACUAUUAGUUUUCAUAGAGGAAGGAAUGGAACGAUCGAGGGACAGGGCGCAAUCUGGUGGCAAAAAUUCAAAGCUAAAAAGCUGAAAAACACUAGGCCUUACUUGAUUAGAAUCUUGCAUACGGACAGACUGGUAGUGGGAAGACUUAUACAAUGCUUGGAGAGAUUGAUGACCUGGAAGUCAAGCUUAGUACAAACCGUGGAAUGACUCCUAGCAUAUUUGAAUUCUUGUUUGCCAGGAUUAGAGUGGAAGAAGAAAGUCGAAGAGAUGAGCAACUGAAGUACAACUGCAAAUGCUUUUUUUUUUUUUAGAUUUACAAUGAACAAAUUACUGACCUUCUUGAUCCUUCAUCCUCAAAUUUGAUGAACAUAUUUCUACCCUUCAAAACGCCGAAUCUCAGCGAUAGUGUCGAAGUGGCAGAUGGAGGAGCAAGAAAUGAUGAACAUAGACGAAGAGGAAUACGGGGAGAAAGUGACGUGUUCGAUACAUUACUCUAGCUACUUAGAUACAUUAUUCGGUUGGUUAAAUAAUGGAUGGUUAAGUUAUUUAGAUAUAUUUGACAUUUUGAUUAUGGAUGGAUGAAGUUAUUUGGAUGAUUUAAUAUUUAUAUAAUAUAUGUUUUGGUUGUAGUA